UACGGGGGGGGCAAGCGUUGUUCGGAAUUACUGGGCGUAAAGGGCUCGUAGGUGGCCAACUAAGUCAGACGUGAAAUCCCUCGGCUUAACCGGGGAACUGCGUCUGAUACUGGAUGGCUUGAGAUUGGGAGAGGGAUGCGGAAUUCCAGGUGUAGCGGUGAAAUGCGUAGAUAUCUGGAGGAACACCGGUGGCGAAGGCGGCGAUCUGGGUAGAUACUGACGCUGAGGUGCGAAAGCGUGGGGAGCAAACAGG
Molecule: ribosomal RNA, 253 nt
Filed under: uncultured prokaryote
Description: partial 16S ribosomal RNA
Rfam family: Bacterial small subunit ribosomal RNA
Source: RNAcentral